AGUGAACGCUGGCGGUAGGCCUAACACAUGCAAGUCGAACGGCAGCACCGUAAGAGCUUGCUCUUACGGGUGGCGAGUGGCGGACGUGUGAGGAAUACAUCGGAAUCUACUUUUUCGUGGGGGAUAACGUAGGGAAACUUACGCUAAUACCGCAUACGACCUACGGGUGAAAGCAGGGGAUCUUCGGACCUUGCGCGAUUGAAUGGGCCGAUGUCGGAUUUGCUAGUUGGCGGGGUAAAGGCCCACCCAGCCGACGAUCCGUAGCUGGUCUGAGAGGAUGAUCAGCCACACUGGAACUGUGACACGGUCCAGAGUCCUAGGGGCGGCAGCAGUGGGGAAUAUUGGACAAUGGGCGCAAGCCUGAUCCAGUCAUACCGCGUGGGUGAAGAAGGCCUUCGGGUUGUAGAGCCCUUUUGUUGGGAAAGAAAAGCAGCAGGUUAAUACCCCGCUGUUCUGACGGUACUCAAAGAAUAAGCACCGGCUAACUUCGUG
Molecule: ribosomal RNA, 492 nt
Filed under: uncultured bacterium
Lineage: Bacteria
Description: partial 16S ribosomal RNA
Rfam family: Bacterial small subunit ribosomal RNA
Source: RNAcentral